CCCAACAGCAUGCAGGAUAAGCAGGAUAUACUGAGGAGGUGAUCCAGGGUCCUGGCGAUACCAUUGAAGAGAGACUGCAGAUGAGUAGGUCAACAGAGUUGGCAGAAGGACCUGACCUGUCUACUGUGAUGUCAUAGGGGAAACAUUGCUUGAAGGGCAUAUCUGUAAGAUAAUUCAUCUAUUCAUCUUAAGGCAAUUCAUUAAUAUACAGGCAUUUUUGUUUUCAUCUUUAUAGCUAUAAUUUACAGCAUAAAUCUGCAACAUAUUUGGAUAACCGAAUGAGUUUCUGUCACUUUUUCAUUUGUUCAUUUGUUUCAACAAAUAAUUCACUGUUCAUUUCCAGCCUACAUUAUUUUUUUUGUCUAUUUAUGGAAACCUAAUAAUUGACAUGUUUCUCUUAGGGGAUGUUGGUGUUUUCAGUUCACAUUUUUGUACAGUGUGUCUGGGUUUCGUAUCAUUGUGGGCUCCAGGGCACAGUAGUACAGAGCAGAAUCUGCCACUUCAGCAGAGGAGAUCUCCAGAUCUACACAGGUUCUCUCAUUGUUCAGUUUAACAGACAGUCGAGGGUCUUCAGGUUUAGCUUUCACUACAGAGGGGUUUGAGGACACUCCAGUGAGGAAGAGGAAGAUGGGAGAUGAUCCAGGGUACUGUUGAUACCACUGGAGAGUACUAGCAGAGGAGUAAUUACAGGACAGAUUCAUGACAUCACCCUACAACCUAACAUCUUAUCUGUUGUUGGAGUAAUGUCAUUCCCAUAACUGCCACCUGUAAAACAUUCAUGAAAACAGGAAUUGUUAUGAGGAAAUUAUUAUAAAAUUCAAAUCAUUAUUCAGUCAAGUGCAUUAAAAAUGGACAGAAGAUCCUUCACAGGAAUAUGACUCCAGUCAUCAGUAACUACUGUUAGAUUCUGGGUGAAACUUGGAACAUUGGUAUAUUCAUAAGGAUAGUGUCCAACCGUGAACGAGACUAGUUUUUACAUCAGAAGUUAAUGGUUAUCUGUAGGAGUCAGAUGGCUUUGGAAUGUGUAGGGGAGACGGGUGGAGAUCUUAGAACCUAACAAUGUCACUGAGGGAGAGAGGGUAAUGUAUAACGUUUACAUUGUGUCAGGAUAUGUUAUUGUUAGCCAUCAGGGUUCCUCUGGGAGGAGAAGAGACACAGUCUGGUAUCAAUAACCAUGACUGCCUUGAGUUGGGGAGGAGUGAGCACUUUGGGGUAGAGGUCAGGUUAGAUGAAGUGAGGAAGAACAGAUAUCACUAAGGUUCUGUCUAGCAACAGUGAUGCAUUGGCUGUUCAGUUGUGGAGAAGGAGACUCAGCCUUGGAGAAAGGGUUAAAUAUCAGUUCAUGUAUGAAAUGUUGUUUGUCUGAAUGCAGCUGUAUCGACCCUUUGGGAAGAAUUAAACUUGGUUAAGCUUC
This is a long non-coding RNA of Salvelinus fontinalis (brook trout), 1414 nucleotides long. RefSeq lists it as uncharacterized. The transcript is spliced from 2 exons. NCBI's taxonomy places the organism in Eukaryota, Metazoa, Chordata, Actinopteri, Salmoniformes, Salmonidae. The record is from RefSeq and is a predicted model, not a curated record.